UACGUAGGGUGCAAGCGUUAAUCGGAAUUACUGGGCGUAAAGCGUGCGCAGGCGGCUAUGCAAGACAGAUGUGAAAUCCCCGGGCUCAACCUGGGAACUGCAUUUGUGACUGCAUAGCUAGAGUACGGUAGAGGGGGAUGGAAUUCCGCGUGUAGCAGUGAAAUGCGUAGAUAUGCGGAGGAACACCGAUGGCGAAGGCAAUCCCCCUGGACCUGUACUGACGCUCAUGCACGAAAAGCCGUGGGGGAGCAAACGAGG
Molecule: ribosomal RNA, 258 nt
Filed under: uncultured bacterium
Lineage: Bacteria
Description: partial 16S ribosomal RNA
Rfam family: Bacterial small subunit ribosomal RNA
Source: RNAcentral